Molecule: ribosomal RNA, 441 nt
Filed under: uncultured bacterium
Lineage: Bacteria
Description: partial 16S ribosomal RNA
Rfam family: Bacterial small subunit ribosomal RNA
Source: RNAcentral
CCUACGGGUGGCAGCAGUCGGGAAUAUUGCGCAAUGGAGGAAACUCUGACGCAGUGACGCAGCGUGCAGGAAGAAGGUUUUCGGAUUGUUAACUUCUUUAUAUAGGGGAGAAAAAAGACAGUACCUGUAAAAUAAGCUCCGGCUAACUACGUGCCAGCAGCCGCGGUAAUACGUAGGGGGCAAGCGUUAACCGGAUUUAUUGGGUGUAAAGGGUGUGUAGACGGGUAGUCAAGUUGGUUGUGAAAUCCUUCGGCUUAACUGAAGAAUUGCAAUCGAAACUGACAUUCUUGAGUGCUGGAGAGGUAAGUGGAAUUCGUGGUGUAGCGGUGAAAUGCGUAGAUAUUAGGAGGAACACCAAUUGCGAAGGCGACUUUCUAGACAGUAACUGACGUUGAGGCACGAAAGUGUGGGGAGCAAACAGGAUUAGAUACCCUUGUAGUC